UCCCUGAUGGUCUAGUGACUAAGACUCCACACUCCCAGUUCAGGGGACCUGGGUUCAAUCCCUGGUCAGGGAG
This 73-nucleotide transfer RNA is filed under the name Ovis aries (sheep). It matches the Rfam family "tRNA". Rfam says of the family: Transfer RNA (tRNA) molecules are approximately 80 nucleotides in length. Their secondary structure includes four short double-helical elements and three loops (D, anti-codon, and T loops). Further hydrogen bonds mediate the characteristic L-shaped molecular structure. tRNAs have two regions of fundamental functional importance: the anti-codon, which is responsible for specific mRNA codon recognition, and the 3' end, to which the tRNAs corresponding amino acid is attached (by aminoacyl-tRNA synthetases). tRNAs cope with the degeneracy of the genetic code in two manners: having more than one tRNA (with a specific anti-codon) for a particular amino acid; and 'wobble' base-pairing, i.e. permitting non-standard base-pairing at the 3rd anti-codon position. The record is from Rfam by way of RNAcentral. Lineage: Eukaryota; Metazoa; Chordata; Mammalia; Artiodactyla; Bovidae.